UGCAGCCCUAGUCCACUGAGGGCAUUGGCACCUCUACUGCAAAACAGAUGAGUGCAUCAUGAAUCUCUCUUCGUGAACAGCUUGUCUGCCUGUUUAUGGAGCUCUGCAGGCAAUCAAGCCAAACAAAUCCAUGAAUCAAUCAUUUGCAUCUGCAUUGCAAGAGAUGCAGUUAACAACAAAGGAAAACUUUACAGAUGCUGGAGAGGGCGAGACCAACAAUAAGAUUGUAAUCCAGUAAGAGCUCUAAAAGAGGCCAGGCUAGUAGCUUGAAGACGUAUGACCAUCUCCCAUAGUAACACUGGGAAACUUGGAGAAAUGCCUGUAACUUCAAGCUUUCU
Dryobates pubescens (Downy woodpecker) is the source of this 338-nucleotide long non-coding RNA. RefSeq lists it as uncharacterized. Lineage: Eukaryota; Metazoa; Chordata; Aves; Piciformes; Picidae. The record is from RefSeq and is a predicted model, not a curated record. The transcript has 3 exons.